Macadamia integrifolia is the source of this 3763-nucleotide long non-coding RNA. RefSeq lists it as uncharacterized. The transcript is spliced from 4 exons. NCBI's taxonomy places the organism in Eukaryota, Viridiplantae, Streptophyta, Magnoliopsida, Proteales, Proteaceae. The record is from RefSeq and is a predicted model, not a curated record.
AUUGCCACACUCCCUCCACCUUCCCGCUAUUAUCUCUCUCCCCAAAUCUCCCUCUUGCUCUCGAACUCUUUCUCAGAAUUAACCGUGAUCCAUACACUAACCUCCACGCUCUCUCUCUCUCUCUCUCUCGCUCUCAAACUUUUUCUCAAAAGUGAGAACCGUAACCUCCAUUCCUCUCUCAAAAUCUUUGUCCAUCCUAUUACUCUCUCUCUCUCACGAAUUACCCUAACCUUCUGGUAUUCUUUUGAAAGGUUGCUUUGCAUCUGUGGUUCUCGUCGGAAGCGAGGAGGGCAAAACGGCUAUUGUCGAGGAAGUUCUGGUUCUGGUCGAAGCCAUCAAGGACGGAUUGAUGAAAGGGAAGGAAUUCGCAGUCUUAACGCUUCUGCAACUCUGUAUGUUCGGAACAAGGGUUUGCUUGUAAGGGAAGGUGGAAUCCCUCCGUUGGUCGCUCUCUCACAGUCAGGAAGUGCCCGAGCGAAGCACAAGGCUGAAACAUUACUUGGUUAUCUGAGAGAACCAAGGCAAGAGGCAUCCUCUUCUAAUCCUGUGGAGAGUCUGUAAACCAUGGACUGACUUGUGGGGUCAUCUAAACUAAAGAUUUUGAUCGUGCAUGUCUUGGUGGUUUCAAAAUGGAUUUAGUUUGUGAUCCUGGGUUUUGUUUUGUUUUGUUUGGGAGAGCCAAAUUUCUACUAAAACACACAAAAGAGUUUUGAUUGAGGCCUUUCAAUAGUAUCUAGUAGGGAAGUAGUGAGUGUGAGAUAGAACUGGAAGAAGGGGGCUUGAGUUAUAUUUCUGACAGACUGUGUUGAGUGUGUUGGGGCGGUGUGAUAUAAUCAUGUAAAUGGUCCAAUGAAACCUUAACUACAUUUAUAAAUGUGUUGGGUGACUUGUGUCUUUCUGAUGAUCUAUCCUUUCUCGUUGACCAGAUGAUUGGAUCCUCAUCCUAUCCAUAACAUUAACAUUGAAGGGCACCUCUCUCUCUGUUUUUUGCAUCUUUGUUUCAUGUGUGCACCAUCAUGUGAUUUGUUUGGGUUAUGGCUUUAUCUAUGAUCUCUACAUUGAUUUUGUUAUUUGAUAAAACUACAGAGUUACAUUGUGUUUCUUUUUUUUCUUCGAAGGUUCUCUUAUAUUUUGUGAUCAAGUACAGUCAUCCUUUUUCAAUACAUGCAUUGUGAUAUAUCAGUUCUGGUUUUAGAGAUAUAUUGUAGUUUCUAAUGGGUGUCUACUGAUUAAUAUCAUAAUUAACUUAUCUUCUGAAAUCUGUUGGUAUAGUACUGGUACUGAAUUCUGUCCAAGUUGAACUUUCCUCAUUAAACUAGGAUUCUUUAAUAUCUUCUAUUUCAACCAUCAGAAACUACGGAGGUUUUACUGCGGUAUGCAUCCUGAUUAAUAGACCACUUGGUUUUCUUUUGAGCCAAUUAUGACUUUUAGUUAUUGAAGUGACUGAAGUUCUCUGUUUAAGCAAUCCUUGCUUGGAUUGGAUUUAAUCAAAGCUCAGAAAUCUAUCCAUUAGAUUAAUCUAAGAUUUUAAUAUCAUGUUUCUUCACCAAACUAGCAUUCGACCAAGGUUUGGUCGAAAUCUGAGUUUAUAGAUUGGUUUGGUGGGAUUUCUCUUGAAUUCUAGGGUUUUCUCUUGAAUUCUAGAAUAUUUAUUGAUUUGUUUGUUGCUGCUUUUGCAAACCUAGUCUUCAGGUGACUGGGAACCACAUUAUAAUCUUUACAUUGGGCUGGAGGUUGCUUCGAUGUCAAUGAUGAUGCGAUGGCCAUAUUUGGGUGAUAGAAGAAGUGCAUGGAAUUAGGAUUUAUUAGAAGCAAAUAGAAUUUAUUCUAACAUAUAAGAUUUACAUCUUGUGUAUUGUAUACAAGUCUAUAUGUAUGCUACUCUGUACCACAUCACAUACAAGUUCCAUUCUACCACUCUUGAGCUAAGUAAUCUGAUUGCUUAAAGACUCAACUACUUUGGAACUAUAACAGUUAAUUCAGCCUUAGAUUGAGACACUAUUGGGAAUUCCUCUUCCAGUUAGCCAACCAAUACCAAAAUAAUUGGAAGUGUCUGCAUAGAGCAAUGUGUAUGGGAUCAAGACAUGCCCUAUUUGAUUCCUCAAUCUUUUGUCAUUGUUCAUCUCUAUAAUUCUAUUCUCAAUCUUUACUAGCCUCUUUCCAAAUUCUUCAAAAGCUUCCAAUGGUUCUGUAUCUGAUGUCCGGUUUGGAGUGUCCCUUUGCCCAAGAUAGACCUUAUCAGAAGAAUGUGUGGAACCGGUUAUGAAUCUGAUGUCCUGCUUCCAAAUUCUUCAAAAGCUUUCAAUCGGGGCAUGUGUAUGUAACUUGCAACCAGAAUAAGAAUAUCAUUAAUUAAACUGUUAUGAAUCAAAUUCUUAUCGCAAAUCUUCCAAUGUGAAGCAUUUAAUUUCCAGUGACUGAUAAGCUGGUGAACAAUAGAGUCAUUCACAGUUGCGUAAGCUUUAUCCAGUUGCCUUACUGAGGCCUGAACACCUUCUUCAGCAGGGGUGAAGACCUUACUAAUUGCACCAUAUUCAUCACCAUCUGGAUGUGGCAGACUCAACUCAAUUGCCGGUGGCUUCAAGGUCCCAUACUUUCAUCCUCUUUCAAGAAGAGGAGUGUUCUGGUUGCAUGGGUCUUUGUGGUAGUGGUGUGUAUACACCUUAGAUAUGGCAUUUCUUUCUUUGGCUAAAAGAGGACAAUUUCCAUGGGUUCAUUAAAGUGAAAGAAAGACACAGAAACAGAGGAAUACAUUGUAGCCUAUUCCUUUCAUGGCUCAUGCAAUUGAACCUUCCAAUUGUCAUUAUCUUGUUGGACAGUUCUUGUAGAAUAAUUCCCACAUAUAUCUUAAUCUUUUUACUAUUUCUUAAAAUUAUUUUCCUUUUUGUAGGAAUUGGAAUCAUAAGUAUCAAGUUUGUGCUGGCCAUAAGACAACCCAGUUCCUGAUUCACACUGAAUCAAAGAUCAAACUACAAAUAAUCACCAAAACACCAGAUCUACCCAAUUGAUCCUUUUUUGUUUUCCUGUUUACAGGCCAAAGAUCAGUAAAGAUUGAAAGAGCAGUGUUAUCAAUACCUGCUGGAUUAGAGGAAAGAUUUUGGUAAUCCAUAAAAGGAUCAGUGCUUCCUUUUACUUUAAGAAUACUAUCCCUGAAAUUUCUCUCCAGUCAAAUACUAGUGGAUGAUAUGAUCAAGAAUAAAGUUUUAAGUCUUUUUAGGCACACCGUGUCAGGUGUGGCAAGGAGGAGAUCAUUGAUCAGGGUUUGGUUAGAAAGAUGGAAAUCCAAGUUUCCAGGAACAAGAUUUUGAUAAAUUAAAGAUAUACUCUUUUUUUCUUUGGUAGUGUAAAUUUUUUAUGACUUUGACAAGUUUUGGAUGUGAUACUGGCUUGACUAGAUAUUAGUGAUCGAUAAUAAUAUAUUGAUAUCUUGAUUACGUAAAAUAUAUGUUCUUUUUUUACUUUGGUAGUGUAAAUUUUUUUUUCCUAAUUUCAUUCAUGAUUUAUAAUGGCAGGUACAAUCCUACGUAGCUGCACAACUUUAAGGAUCAAUAUUAGCAAUUACUAUAUAUUUGGCAUUGAGAAGAGGGAUUUUUUUGGGUUGGCACCAAUAGGUUCAGACAACUGAGCAUUUGGGAUGGAGUUUUUUUUUUUUGUCAUUGCUUUUUGUACUAUGUUUGUAGAAAAUGUAAUGAAACAUAUGGAUUUAUGAUUGUAUACAUUUUAAUUUUUAAAAGUUGAAUGAAAACAAUGAAAUCUUAUGUCC